GAAACCAAGUGGUAUUUUUCCCCUUUUCCGCAUGUGCAGUAAUACUGCUGCUGCCCAGCCAUGCCAAGCCGGCAGCUUCCAUGCAGAAAAUGCAUAAUGAGCCCGGUGUUCGUGGGCAGCUCUGCAUCAGCUUGGGGUUUCCAGCAGCACUUCUGAAAUAUGUGCAGCCUGUUCAUUCGGCGCCUACACAGUCCAGCAAGCAGCGAGGGCAAGGAGGAACAGGGGCCCGGAACAGCCGGUCGCCGCUGCGAAUAGAACAACUCAUCCAUCCUGCAGCCUGUCGCCGAGCCGAGCUAUCCCAGAGGUCGCGCAUCUCUGCCAUGGAGCGUGACGAGCUUGCAAAGCGUAGGCGAAAAGGGGGAUGAAAAUCACGUUAAAUUAGAUACUUCUAAAGCAUCUUCAUGAUUUUCCAGACUUCUGGCUGUUGUCAUGUGGAUUCCCCCCCGGAUGAGGAAAAGGGGGAGAGAAAAUUGCUUCCAGAGAUGAUCUUAUAGCUGAUGAGAGAGACACCAGCUGAGGCAGCAGUAUCAUAGAGAUGGCAGGCAUUAGACGGAUGAUGUUUCUUCCUGUUCUUGUGCAAAGCUCUUAUGGAAGCUUUAUGAUACUGGAUAAUCCUUUUCAAAAUAACGCCGGGGCACCCCGUGGAAAGCCCCUGCUUGUCAACACUUAAAGUGUGGAAAUAAAAAACAUAAAAAAAAUGAGAUCA
Molecule: long non-coding RNA, 706 nt
Filed under: Apteryx owenii (little spotted kiwi)
Lineage: Eukaryota; Metazoa; Chordata; Aves; Apterygiformes; Apterygidae
Description: lncRNA (ENSAOWG00000000727.1)
Source: RNAcentral